CACAUGACUCUCGGCAACGGAUAUCUCGGCUCUCGCAUCGAUGAAGAACGUAGCAAAAUGCGAUACCUGGUGUGAAUUGCAGAAUCCCGUGAACCAUCGAGUUUUUGAACGCAAGUUGCGCCUGAGGCCUUUUGGUUGAGGGCACGUCUGCCUGGGCGUCACGC
This 164-nucleotide ribosomal RNA is filed under the name Muhlenbergia fragilis. RNAcentral's name for it is "5.8S ribosomal RNA". It matches the Rfam family "5.8S ribosomal RNA". From Rfam's summary of the family: 5.8S ribosomal RNA (5.8S rRNA) is a component of the large subunit of the eukaryotic ribosome. Lineage: Eukaryota; Viridiplantae; Streptophyta; Magnoliopsida; Poales; Poaceae. The record is from RNAcentral.